Molecule: ribosomal RNA, 253 nt
Filed under: uncultured bacterium
Lineage: Bacteria
Description: partial 16S ribosomal RNA
Rfam family: Bacterial small subunit ribosomal RNA
Source: RNAcentral
UACGUAGGGUGCGAGCGUUAAUCGGAAUUACUGGGCGUAAAGCGUGCGCAGGCGGUUUUGUAAGCCAGAUGUGAAAUCCCCGGGCUUAACCUGGGAAUGGCAUUUGGGACUGCAAGGCUCGAGUGCGGCAGAGGAGACUGGAAUUCCUGGUGUAGCGGUGAAAUGCGCAGAUAUCGUAAGGAAGACCAGUGGCGAAGGCGGGUCUCUGGACAGUUCCUGACGCUGAGGCACGAAGGCCAGGGGAGCAAACGGG